RNAcentral lists this ribosomal RNA (1045 nucleotides) under Corynebacterium sp. RNAcentral's name for it is "bacterial SSU rRNA". It matches the Rfam family "Bacterial small subunit ribosomal RNA", at positions 37 to 1094 of the family's 1533-position model. Lineage: Bacteria; Bacillati; Actinomycetota; Actinomycetes; Mycobacteriales; Corynebacteriaceae. The record is from RNAcentral.
UGGCGGCGUGCUUAACACAUGCAAGUCGAACGGAAAGGCCUGCAGCUUGCUGCGGGUACUCGAGUGGCGAACGGGUGAGUAACACGUGGGUGAUCUGCCUUGCACUUCGGGAUAAGCUUGGGAAACUGGGUCUAAUACCGGAUAGGACAGCUGUUUAGUGUCAGUUGUGGAAAGUUUUUUCGGUGCAAGAUGAGCUCGCGGCCUAUCAGCUUGUUGGUGGGGUAAUGGCCUACCAAGGCGUCGACGGGUAGCCGGCCUGAGAGGGUGUACGGCCACAUUGGGACUGAGAUACGGCCCAGACUCCUACGGGAGGCAGCAGUGGGGAAUAUUGCACAAUGGGCGGAAGCCUGAUGCAGCGACGCCGCGUGGGGGAUGAAGGCCUUCGGGUUGUAAACUCCUUUCGACAGGGACGAAGCGUAAGUGACGGUACCUGUAUAAGAAGCACCGGCUAACUACGUGCCAGCAGCCGCGGUAAUACGUAGGGUGCGAGCGUUGUCCGGAAUUACUGGGCGUAAAGAGCUCGUAGGUGGUUUGUCGCGUCGUCUGUGAAAUUCCGGGGCUUAACUCCGGGCGUGCAGGCGAUACGGGCUGACUUGAGUGCUGUAGGGGAGACUGGAAUUCCUGGUGUAGCGGUGAAAUGCGCAGAUAUCAGGAGGAACACCGAUGGCGAAGGCAGGUCUCUGGGCAGUAACUGACGCUGAGGAGCGAAAGCAUGGGUAGCGAACAGGAUUAGAUACCCUGGUAGUCCAUGCCGUAAACGGUGGGCGCUAGGUGUAGGGGGCUUCCACGUCUUCUGUGCCGUAGCUAACGCAUUAAGCGCCCCGCCUGGGGAGUACGGCCGCAAGGCUAAAACUCAAAGGAAUUGACGGGGGCCCGCACAAGCGGCGGAGCAUGUGGAUUAAUUCGAUGCAACGCGAAGAACCUUACCUGGGCUUGACAUAUACAAGACAGGCGUAGAGAUACGUCCUCCCUUGUGGUUUGUAUACAGGUGGUGCAUGGUUGUCGUCAGCUCGUGUCGUGAGAUGUUGGGUUAAGUCCCGCAACG